This 2805-nucleotide ribosomal RNA is filed under the name Klebsiella pneumoniae. RNAcentral describes it as "bacterial LSU rRNA". It matches the Rfam family "Bacterial large subunit ribosomal RNA". The record is from RNAcentral. Lineage: Bacteria; Pseudomonadati; Pseudomonadota; Gammaproteobacteria; Enterobacterales; Enterobacteriaceae.
GUUACAGCCGGCGAUGUCCGAAUGGGGAAACCCAGUGCAAUUCGUUGCACUAUCGUUAACUGAAUACAUAGGUUAACGAGGCGAACCGGGGGAACUGAAACAUCUAAGUACCCCGAGGAAAAGAAAUCAACCGAGAUUCCCCCAGUAGCGGCGAGCGAACGGGGAGCAGCCCAGAGUCUGAAUCAGCUUGUGUGUUAGUGGAACGGUCUGGAAAGUCCGACGGUACAGGGUGAUAGUCCCGUACACCAAAAUGCACAGGCUGUGAACUCGAAGAGUAGGGCGGGACACGUGGUAUCCUGUCUGAAUAUGGGGGGACCAUCCUCCAAGGCUAAAUACUCCUGACUGACCGAUAGUGAACCAGUACCGUGAGGGAAAGGCGAAAAGAACCCCGGCGAGGGGAGUGAAAAAGAACCUGAAACCGUGUACGUACAAGCAGUGGGAGCACCUUCGGGUGUGACUGCGUACCUUUUGUAUAAUGGGUCAGCGACUUAUAUUCUGUAGCAAGGUUAACCGUAUAGGGGAGCCGCAGGGAAACCGAGUCUUAACUGGGCGUUAAGUUGCAGGGUAUAGACCCGAAACCCGGUGAUCUAGCCAUGGGCAGGUUGAAGGUUGGGUAACACUAACUGGAGGACCGAACCGACUAAUGUUGAAAAAUUAGCGGAUGACUUGUGGCUGGGGGUGAAAGGCCAAUCAAACCGGGAGAUAGCUGGUUCUCCCCGAAAGCUAUUUAGGUAGCGCCUCGUGAACUCAUCUUCGGGGGUAGAGCACUGUUUCGGCUAGGGGGUCAUCCCGACUUACCAACCCGAUGCAAACUACGAAUACCGAAGAAUGUUAUCACGGGAGACACACGGCGGGUGCUAACGUCCGUCGUGAAGAGGGAAACAACCCAGACCGCCAGCUAAGGUCCCAAAGUCAUGGUUAAGUGGGAAACGAUGUGGGAAGGCACAGACAGCCAGGAUGUUGGCUUAGAAGCAGCCAUCAUUUAAAGAAAGCGUAAUAGCUCACUGGUCGAGUCGGCCUGCGCGGAAGAUGUAACGGGGCUAAACCAUGCACCGAAGCUGCGGCAGCGACACUAUGUGUUGUUGGGUAGGGGAGCGUUCUGUAAGCCUGCGAAGGUGUGCUGUGAGGCAUGCUGGAGGUAUCAGAAGUGCGAAUGCUGACAUAAGUAACGAUAAAGCGGGUGAAAAGCCCGCUCGCCGGAAGACCAAGGGUUCCUGUCCAACGUUAAUCGGGGCAGGGUGAGUCGACCCCUAAGGCGAGGCCGAAAGGCGUAGUCGAUGGGAAACAGGUUAAUAUUCCUGUACUUGGUGUUACUGCGAAGGGGGGACGGAGAAGGCUAUGUUAGCCGGGCGACGGUUGUCCCGGUUUAAGCAUGUAGGCUGAUUAUCCAGGCAAAUCCGGAUAAUCAAGGCUGAGGUGUGAUGACGAGGCACUACGGUGCUGAAGUAACAAAUGCCCUGCUUCCAGGAAAAGCCUCUAAGCAUCAGGUAACAUCAAAUCGUACCCCAAACCGACACAGGUGGUCAGGUAGAGAAUACCAAGGCGCUUGAGAGAACUCGGGUGAAGGAACUAGGCAAAAUGGUGCCGUAACUUCGGGAGAAGGCACGCUGGUGUGUAGGUGAAGUCCCUGCGGAUGGAGCUGAGACCAGUCGAAGAUACCAGCUGGCUGCAACUGUUUAUUAAAAACACAGCACUGUGCAAACACGAAAGUGGACGUAUACGGUGUGACGCCUGCCCGGUGCCGGAAGGUUAAUUGAUGGGGUUAUCCGUAAGGAGAAGCUCUUGAUCGAAGCCCCGGUAAACGGCGGCCGUAACUAUAACGGUCCUAAGGUAGCGAAAUUCCUUGUCGGGUAAGUUCCGACCUGCACGAAUGGCGUAAUGAUGGCCAGGCUGUCUCCACCCGAGACUCAGUGAAAUUGAACUCGCUGUGAAGAUGCAGUGUACCCGCGGCAAGACGGAAAGACCCCGUGAACCUUUACUAUAGCUUGACACUGAACAUUGAGCCUUGAUGUGUAGGAUAGGUGGGAGGCUUUGAAGCGUGGACGCCAGUCUGCGUGGAGCCAACCUUGAAAUACCACCCUUUAAUGUUUGAUGUUCUAACGUUGGCCCCUGACCGGGGUUGCGGACAGUGUCUGGUGGGUAGUUUGACUGGGGCGGUCUCCUCCCAAAGCGUAACGGAGGAGCACGAAGGUUAGCUAAUCCUGGUCGGACAUCAGGAGGUUAGUGCAAUGGCAUAAGCUAGCUUGACUGCGAGCGUGACGGCGCGAGCAGGUGCGAAAGCAGGUCAUAGUGAUCCGGUGGUUCUGAAUGGAAGGGCCAUCGCUCAACGGAUAAAAGGUACUCCGGGGAUAACAGGCUGAUACCGCCCAAGAGUUCAUAUCGACGGCGGUGUUUGGCACCUCGAUGUCGGCUCAUCACAUCCUGGGGCUGAAGUAGGUCCCAAGGGUAUGGCUGUUCGCCAUUUAAAGUGGUACGCGAGCUGGGUUUAGAACGUCGUGAGACAGUUCGGUCCCUAUCUGCCGUGGGCGCUGGAGAAUUGAGGGGGGCUGCUCCUAGUACGAGAGGACCGGAGUGGACGCAUCACUGGUGUUCGGGUUGUCAUGCCAAUGGCACUGCCCGGUAGCUAAAUGCGGAAGAGAUAAGUGCUGAAAGCAUCUAAGCACGAAACUUGCCCCGAGAUGAGUUCUCCCUGAGACUUUAAGUCUCCUGAAGGAACGUUAAAGACGAUGACGUUGAUAGGCCGGGUGUGUAAGCGCAGCGAUGCGUUGAGCUAACCGGUACUAAUGAACCGUGAGGCUUAACCUU